RNAcentral lists this ribosomal RNA (439 nucleotides) under Micrococcus thailandicus. RNAcentral describes it as "bacterial SSU rRNA". It matches the Rfam family "Bacterial small subunit ribosomal RNA", at positions 29 to 481 of the family's 1533-position model. Lineage: Bacteria; Bacillati; Actinomycetota; Actinomycetes; Micrococcales; Micrococcaceae. The record is from RNAcentral.
AUGAACGCUGGCGGCGUGCUUAACACAUGCAAGUCGAACGAUGAAGCCCAGCUUGCUGGGUGGAUUAGUGGCGAACGGGUGAGUAACACGUGAGUAACCUGCCCUUAACUCUGGGAUAAGCCUGGGAAACUGGGUCUAAUACCGGAUAGGAGCGUCCACCGCAUGGUGGGUGUUGGAAAGAUUUAUCGGUUUUGGAUGGACUCGCGGCCUAUCAGCUUGUUGGUGAGGUAAUGGCUCACCAAGGCGACGACGGGUAGCCGGCCUGAGAGGGUGACCGGCCACACUGGGACUGAGACACGGCCCAGACUCCUACGGGAGGCAGCAGUGGGGAAUAUUGCACAAUGGGCGCAAGCCUGAUGCAGCGACGCCGCGUGAGGGAUGACGGCCUUCGGGUUGUAAACCUCUUUCAGUAGGGAAGAAGCGAAAGUGACGGUACCUG